AUUGAACGCUGGCGGCAUGCCUUACACAUGCAAGUCGAACGGCAGCGGGGGAGAAGCUUGCUUUUCCUGCCGGCGAGUGGCGAACGGGUGAGUAAUACAUCGGAACGUGCCCUGUAGUGGGGGAUAACUAGUCGAAAGAUUAGCUAAUACCGCAUACGACCUGAGGGUGAAAGUGGGGGACCGCAAGGCCUCAUGCUAUAGGAGCGGCCGAUGUCUGAUUAGCUAGUUGGUGGGGUAAAGGCCUACCAAGGCGACGAUCAGUAGCUGGUCUGAGAGGACGAUCAGCCACACUGGGACUGAGACACGGCCACGGCUCCUACGGGAGGCAGCAGUUGGGAAUUUUGGACAAUGGGCGAAAGCCUGAUCCAGCAAUGCCGCGUGUGUGAAGAAGGCCUUCGGGUUGUAAAGCACUUUUGUCCGGAAAGAAAUGGCUCUGGUUAAUACCUGGGGUCGAUGACGGUACCGGAAGAAUAAGGACCGGCUAACUACGUGCCAGCCGCCGCCGUAA
This 508-nucleotide ribosomal RNA is filed under the name uncultured bacterium. Its description in RNAcentral is "partial 16S ribosomal RNA". It matches the Rfam family "Bacterial small subunit ribosomal RNA", at positions 30 to 523 of the family's 1533-position model. The record is from RNAcentral.